AAGUCGUAACAAGGUUUCCGUAGGUGAACCUGCGGAAGGAUCAUUAGUGAAAAACAGGGUGUCUUCGGACCCCAACCUCUCACAUCCACACACACCUGUGCACUUGUUGGCUUGAAGGACGAGAAGUUUACUUCUCCGACUUCGAGUCCUUUUCAUCACACACUCUUUGUCCUUUGGAUGUAACCUUCUAUCGCUGUAAUAGCGUCGAAAUCAAAUAAAACUUUUAACAACGGAUCUCUUGGCUCUC
Molecule: unclassified non-coding RNA, 247 nt
Filed under: fungal sp.
Lineage: Eukaryota; Fungi
Description: partial contains small subunit ribosomal RNA, internal transcribed spacer 1, and 5.8S ribosomal RNA
Rfam family: Eukaryotic small subunit ribosomal RNA (bases 1-46)
Source: RNAcentral